Molecule: unclassified non-coding RNA, 213 nt
Filed under: plant metagenome
Description: partial contains small subunit ribosomal RNA, internal transcribed spacer 1, and 5.8S ribosomal RNA
Source: RNAcentral
UUUCCGUAGGUGAACCUGCGGAAGGAUCAUUCAUAAUAAGUGUUUUAUGGCACUUUUUUAAAUCCAUAUCCACCUUGUGUGCAAUGUCAGGGUUGAUUUUUCUCUCGAGAGGAUCAACCCCAAACAUCAACUAUAUCUCAACUCUUUGUCUGAAAAAUAUUAUGAAUAAAACAAUUCAAAAUACAACUUUCAACAACGGAUCUCUUGGCUCUG